This 73-nucleotide transfer RNA is filed under the name Rhodotorula toruloides. RNAcentral describes it as "tRNA-Trp". It matches the Rfam family "tRNA". From Rfam's summary of the family: Transfer RNA (tRNA) molecules are approximately 80 nucleotides in length. Their secondary structure includes four short double-helical elements and three loops (D, anti-codon, and T loops). The record is from RNAcentral. Lineage: Eukaryota; Fungi; Basidiomycota; Microbotryomycetes; Sporidiobolales; Sporidiobolaceae.
AGGGACAUGGUGUCAAUGGUAGCAUACAGACCUCCAAAGUCUUGUGGUGUCUGUUCGAAUCAGACUGUUCCUG